UGAAGGCAGAAUGCCAGAACUUGAGCUUGGCGUUUCCUGAGUAUUAUCCAUCCUGACCUUGGCAGAGAAGAAAAGAAGCCAAAACCUUUACAGGUGGGAGCUGAGCCGUGCUCUAGGAGUGAAUCCCUCACAGCUGGGCUGCAGGAGGAGGAAUCCCACAUUCACUCUGUGACCCUCCUUAGGCUGGGUGACAGCUCGGGACAACAAACCACUUCCUGGGGAGAGGAAAGUGCUGUUCCACAUGCCUGUGAAGCCAGCACUUGUCUCCUGGUGAGCGCAGCUUUGGUGGCUGGUCUCUGGAGACUCCAGCCUUUUUCCAAACACUGGGAAUUGUUGGGAAUCCGUGUUCCAGAGAGCUUGCAGUCAGAAUCAAAAGAAGACAAAGGCAAUUUAAAAGAAAUGAGGACAAGAGAAAUUUAAGUGUAUGUGAUAUUCAAGAUGUCAUUAAUUGUAAAUAAUGAUUUGCCUCACUUUGGCACUGCUCCCAGGAAGUCACACCAGGCUCAAGAAUGCAACACGAUGACGCACGACUUGAAAAUACUAUGUCAAACCCCACCUGGUUCCUGUUAGCUGAAGGUCUUGUUGACACUGCUCAUUUGUUCUUCACUCAACUCAAAACUCAUGGACUCAUCGAAGGAUGCAGCUUGAUGGAACUGCUUGGCAAACCCUAAUAGAUUUAAAAGGUUUAAUAAAUUACUAAUUAAAGGAGGAGAAAAAACAGAGCUCAGAAAUGUUUGCAAACAUGACGUCAUCAUAGCUUGUGCAGAUAGGAUUUCUCUGAAACCUGCAAGUGAAUCACACCAACCUGUUUUUUGAACCAGAACUUCAUGGGGGUGCCCUCUAAAAGCCCAGCUAACAGCAGAUAGAGUAUUCGUGAAGUACUGAUUAUCCAUAUUUGGGGUUUUUUGGAGGAGUAUGCAUUGAAUAUCUUUCAUAUCUCUUACACAAAUAUAGAGAAGUAUUUUAUCUGCUGUCAUCUCUCUUAGCCUCCUGCAGACCACCUGACCCAGCAGCUUCGUUUGCUAUUGCUACAAAACUCGAGUUUAACUUUGAGGGCUAAAAUGCAGCUUGAAGGGAUACAGGAAGCUGGAGAGCCUGGUGGCAAUAAUCAGCAUCUCUUGAGGAGUGACUCCAUGUUCCUGAGCUGACCCCCAAGGGUGAGAGUGACAAAGCCUGGGUCGGAAAGAAUUUCUGCAGUUUGUAAAAUUUUCUGGCUUUUCACAGGUGCUUUGCACCCAGGGGAGGGUAUCUCAAUCUGUUGGAUGAGUCAGAACCUGUCCAUGGAAGAAAGGGCUGGGUGACAAAGAAGAGUGUCGCUGGUGCCUCUGUGCAGGUCUCCUGGCUUCAGCACCGGGAAGUUUCCCUGAAAUUGGUUUCUGCAUUGAAGGACCCAUGGGCUGUAACUAUCUGCCAUUAAGAGAGGGAAUCAGGAAACGUGGAUAGUGCCCUGAGUGCCUCUGAUGCCUCUGCACACUCCCAAUCCAUGGGGACUAUCAGGGCUCAGCAGAGACGUGGGCUGAAGGAAAUCUGAGCUGGUGAAUGACUGUCGAUACCCGAACUUCUGCAACUUCGUGUGAAAGUACCAAGCCCAGGGUGGAUAUGGGGUCACAAAAAAGCUUUGUUUCUAAAGGCACUUUUCAGAAGAACCUCAUUUUAAGGCAACGCUAGCCCUGGAAAUAACUUAUUGCACUUAUUUAUAAGAUGCUCAUGAAUAAUUUAUACUACAUUAACUUGUAAAUGUGAUAGCUUUUGAAAUCAUUAGGCUCCAGUAGCUUGCUUUGUAAGUCCGUGGGCUGGAUCUCAUUAUUAAAAGCUAAUUAGCUCAUUCAGCUGGAACACAUUUUGUCAAAUAGCUAUAUCAGUACUCUUCUU
Long non-coding RNA from Hirundo rustica (Barn swallow), 1872 nucleotides. RefSeq lists it as uncharacterized. Lineage: Eukaryota; Metazoa; Chordata; Aves; Passeriformes; Hirundinidae. The record is from RefSeq and is a predicted model, not a curated record. The transcript is spliced from 4 exons.